RNAcentral lists this unclassified non-coding RNA (337 nucleotides) under soil metagenome. RNAcentral describes it as "partial contains 5.8S ribosomal RNA, internal transcribed spacer 2, and large subunit ribosomal RNA". The stretch from base 1 to 120 matches the Rfam family "5.8S ribosomal RNA", at positions 35 to 154 of the family's 154-position model. The record is from RNAcentral.
GAUGAAGAACGCAGCGAAAUGCGAUAAGUAGUGUGAAUUGCAGAAUUCAGUGAAUCAUCGAAUCUUUGAACGCACAUUGCGCCCCUUGGUAUUCCAUGGGGCAUGCCUGUUCGAGCGUCAUUUGUAACUUCAAGCCUUGCUUGGUGUUGGGUGUUUGUCUCGCCUCUGCGCGCAGACUCGCCUCAAAACAAUUGGCAGCCGGCGUAUUGAUUUCGGAGCGCAGUACAUCUCGCGCUUUGCACUCAGAACGACGACGUCCAAAAGUACAUUUUUACACUCUUGACCUCGGAUCAGGUAGGGAUACCCGCUGAACUUAAGCAUAUCAAUAAGCGGAGGA